UGCUAUGUGAGGCAGCAUGAACAUAUCUUAUUUUUCAAGACUUUGUGAUAGUUGUGGUAUUCAUGAGCAUUCAGAAUUUUUUUUGUAGCAUGAUUAAGUG
Non-coding RNA from Vicugna pacos (alpaca), 100 nucleotides. The record is from RefSeq and is a predicted model, not a curated record. NCBI's taxonomy places the organism in Eukaryota, Metazoa, Chordata, Mammalia, Artiodactyla, Camelidae.